Molecule: ribosomal RNA, 441 nt
Filed under: uncultured bacterium
Lineage: Bacteria
Description: bacterial SSU rRNA
Rfam family: Bacterial small subunit ribosomal RNA
Source: RNAcentral
UACGGAAGGCAGCAGUGGGGAAUAUUGCACAAUGGGCGCAAGCCUGAUGCAGCCAUGCCGCGUGUAUGAAGAAGGCCUUCGGGUUGUAAAGUACUUUUCAGUCGUGAGGAAGGUGUUAAGGUUAAUAACCUUAGCAAUUGACGUUAGCGACAGAAGAAGCACCGGCUAACUCCGUGCCAGCAGCCGCGGUAAUACGGAGGGUGCGAGCGUUAAUCGGAAUUACUGGGCGUAAAGGGCACGCAGGCGGUUAAUUAAGUUGGAUGUGAAAUCCCCGGGCUUAACCUGGGAAUGGCAUUCAAGACUGGUUAGCUAGAGUCUUGUAGAGGGGGUAGAAUUCCAUGUGUAGCGGUGAAAUGCGUAGAGAUGUGGAGGAAUACCGGUGGCGAAGGCGGCCCCUGGACAAAGGCUGACGCUCAUGUGCGAAAGCGUGGGGAGCAAACG